RNAcentral lists this ribosomal RNA (2176 nucleotides) under human gut metagenome. RNAcentral's name for it is "bacterial LSU rRNA". It matches the Rfam family "Bacterial large subunit ribosomal RNA", at positions 225 to 2423 of the family's 2925-position model. The record is from RNAcentral.
GAAACAUCGAUUUCCUAAGUAGCGGCGAGCGAACGGGAAAGAGGCCAAACCAGAGAGCAUGCUCUUUGGGGUUGCGGGCCGGCAACAUGUACGUGAAAGUCUAGUGGAAGCGCGUUGGAAAGCGCCGCCAGAGAGGGUGACAGCCCCGUAGACGAAAGGCGGACACGGCUAGCCGGUACCAGAGUACCGCAGGACACGAGGAAUCCGGCGGGAAGCCGGGGGGACCACCCCCCAAGCCUAAAUACGAUAUGGUGACCGAUAGCGCAUAGUACCGUGAGGGAAAGGUGAAAAGAACCCCGGGAGGGGAGUGAAAGAGAACCUGAAACCCUGUGUUUACAAGCAGAGGAAGCACGAUCUAGGUGCGACCUUGUACUUUUUGUAGAACGGACCGGCGAGUUGCGUUAUGUUGCGAGGUUAAGUACUGAAGGUACGGAGCCGAAGCGAAAGCGAGUCUGAAGAGGGCGGUAAGUAACAUGACGCAGACCCGAAACCGGGUGACCUAUCCAUGGCCAGGUUGAAGUGGGAGUACAAUCCCAUGGAGGACCGAACCAGACGUCUGUUGAAAAAGGCGGGGAUGAGCUGUGGAUAGCGGAGAAAUUCCAAUCGAACCCGGAGAUAGCUGGUUCUCCUCGAAAUAGCUUUAGGGCUAGCCUCGUAUUAGAUAACUGGAGGUAGAGCACUGAAUGGGCUAGGGGGCCCAAAGCUUACCGAACCCUAUCAAACUUCGAAUGCCAGGAUAUUGAUGUACGGGAGUCAGUCCGCGAGAGAUAAGUUCCGCGGGCAAAAGGGGAACACCCCAGACCCACUGCUAAGGUCCCAAAGUGCGCGUUAAGUGGAGAAGGAUGUGUGAUUGCACAGACAACCAGGAUGUUGGCUCAGAAGCAGCCAUUCAUUCAAAGAGUGCGUAAUAGCUCACUGGUCGAGUGGUCAUGCGCCGAAGAUGUACCGGGGCUCAAACGCGCCACCGAAGCAUGGGAUUCGCGUAAGCGAGUGGUAGAGGAGCAUUGAAUCAGGGCAGAAGCUGGAGCGAGAGCACCAGUGGACUUGAUUCAAGAGAGAAUGCCGGUAUGAGUAGCGAGAGGCAAGCGAGAAACUUGCCCGUCGAAAGCCUAAGGUUUCCUGGGGAAGGUUCAUCCGCCCAGGGUAAGUCGGGACCUAAGCCGAGGACGGAAGUCGUAGGCGAUGGACAGCAGGUUGAGAUUCCUGCACCGCCUUGAGAAUGAUGCAAUGACACAGAAGGAUAGCAUGAGCCGGGUGAUGGUCAACUCGGUUUCCAAAGCGAGGGCGUCUGGUAGUGAAGUACGCCAGACACACAGCCUGAGCCGAAGAGGGAGCGAAAUUCAAGUAGCGAAGCAUGCGAUUUCACGCUGGCGAGAAAAGUUGCUGGUAUAUCGAAGAGGCGCCCGUACCGCAAACCGACGCAGGUAGGCGAGGUGAGAAUCCUAAGACGAACGGGAGAACCCUUGUUAAGGAACUCGGCAAAAUGACCCCGUAACUUCGGGAGAAGGGGUGCCCAUGGAAACAUCGGUCGCAGAGAAAAGGCUCAAGCGACUGUUUAGCAAAAACACAGGUAUCUGCGAAAGCGAGAGCUGACGUAUAGGUGCUGACACCUGCCCGGUGCUGGAAGGUUAAGGGGAAAUGUCAUCGCAAGAGAAGCAUAGAACCGAAGCCCCAGUAAACGGCGGCCGUAACUAUAACGGUCCUAAGGUAGCGAAAUUCCUUGUCGGGUAAGUUCCGACCCGCACGAAUGGUGUAACGAUUUGAGCGCUGUCUCAACAGGGGGCCCGGUGAAAUUGAAGUAUGGGUGAAGAUGCCCAUUACCCGCGACUGGACGGAAAGACCCCGUAGAGCUUGACUGUAGCCUGAUAUUGGAUUUCGGUAACGGAUGCACAGGAUAGGUGGGAGGCUAGGAAGGCAGGACUCCGGUCUUGUUGGAGCCGCCGUUGGGAUACCACUCUUCUGUUGCUGGAAUUCUAACAUGGCGCCGUGAAACCGGUGAAUGGACAGUGUCAGGUGGGCAGUUUGACUGGGGCGGUCGCCUCCGAAAGAGUAACGGAGGCGCCCAAAGGUACCCUCAGAAUGGAUGGAAACCAUUCAAAGAGUGUAAAGGCAGAAGGGUGCUUGACUGUGAGAGUGACAACUCGAUCAGAUACGAAAGUAGGGCUUAGUGAUCCGG